This is a non-coding RNA of Vicia faba (fava bean), 303 nucleotides long. NCBI's taxonomy places the organism in Eukaryota, Viridiplantae, Streptophyta, Magnoliopsida, Fabales, Fabaceae. The record is from the annotation of a GenBank genome assembly.
AUGGCAAGUCAUCCAGAGAGUUAUAAUGGACCGGGGUCAUGCCUUGUUAAGCAGAAUAAGAUUACACCAUAUCACUUUAUCACUGACCGGUAUCAAGUCAUUAUAAACUUUCCUGCUGUAGAACUUCCCCUCAUUCAACAUACUAGCCCACAGACUUUUCCAGACUGUAGAAACAACAAUCCGCAAUACCGCACGUCCAUUUUUUCGAUCACUCUUCUUCUUCCAUCAACAAACACCCCAAACCCUGAAUCCUACCUUCUCCCUCUCCCAUCGAUUUCAUCAUUUGUGGAACGGAGGGAGUAA